GGCCUAUAAAAUAUGUAUUUACCUUGUGUACUCAUUUGGAGGUUUAAAAUUUCACUGAGGAGACCUUUAACAUUUUUAUAAUAAUCAUUUUACUAAAGCAAAGAUUAAGUACACAUUUUCCCAACAUAACAAUUUCAUCUAUGGAUAGGCAUUAGCUACAUGAUUUUUCAUUUUAAAACCCCACAAUGAUUAUUUUUCAGACAUAAAUAAAAAAUACACUGGUUCUAGAUGCCAACAAAAUCACAUUUGCAAACCUUAAGAGUUUGGUAAGUUACAACAUUAAGAUGACUAACGAUAUGUGUGCAGUAUUCUCAGUAUAGAAUACCCAAAAUUCCCGUGUACAUCUGUGUUGCUUGAGUGUCCCAGUAUGGGAGGAGGUAGACUUGGCACAUCGAAAGCCACUGCUAUACUAAAGAAUCAUACAAAGUCUCAGGGAUUCUUCAGAGAAUCAGCUAUUAUAAAAUCCAUCUUGAUAAUUCAUUUUGUGCGAGAAUGUGAGAAUGAAAUGCAAAGGAGGUUAAUUUUACCCAGGAGAGCAUUCAUAUCCUUUUCCACUUGUCAGAAUAUACUUGAUUCAUAAGUGGUCUUUUACCGACCUACGACUACAUCACAAGAGCAUGCCAGCCACAGUGUCUUCCCUUAACACUUUGUGUUUUUUUGUAGGGAUUAUGGUCACAUAGUCACACGGUCCCUUCUCCUCCUGGGCAGGUCCUUUUCCCUUCUGUCCCAGCCUUGCUGCCAACACAAGAUCAUAUAGCCUCUGUGUCCACCCAGCCAGUUAAUUGUUCAUGGACCAAACUAGUGAUCUGGCCUCAAUCUCUCCACUGCCAGCUCUAGAUGCUAUUGAUUUUUACUGAUAAUAUAAGUAGUAAUAUACUGGAGAAAAUUUUUUAAAGCAUAAAACCAGGAAAACCCAUAAUCCAACUACCCAGAGUUUGCAUAUCCUUUCCAUCUUUUUAAAAGUCAUUUUUUGGAUUUAUACAUACAAUUUUGUAUAUCACUCUUUUCACUUAACACUAUAAGCACUUUGCCAUGCUGUCAAAUACUCUUCAGAAACAUAAAUUAUAAUGAUGGCACAACAGUCUACUGGAUAGUCAUACUGUAAUUUACUUAACCAAUUUUCUACUGUUGGACUUUAAGAUUGUCAAGCCUUGAUUUUGCCCACAUUUUAGACUAUUUCUUUAGGACAAAUUCCCAGAAGUGGAAUUGGAGGAUCAGAGGAUCUAAACAUUUUUAAAGCUCCUGAUAGAUAUUGCCAAAUUGCUUUUCAGAAAACCAUUGCCAGUCUACACUUCUAACAUUGCCAGUGUGUUUUUCUGCCAAUAUAGAUCUGUCUAAAGGAUAAUAAAAUUUAAAUGAAACACGCAGUCCUCUAAUUAUUAAUGCAGCUGGAGAGGCAUCAAGACCAGAGCACAAAGGCAUGUGGCAACAGUCAUACCUAUUUCCAGGUAUGCAGUUAACAAUGGGUUAGUGUGCACACACGGAACAGAAAAUUUGCAAGAGUGAAGAGUAAUAUAAUUAGAUUUCAGACCAUCUAAUCCAAGGCCUGUGUCUAUUUUGUACACUGCUGUAUCUCGGCACACAAGAUAGCAUCUGGCCCAUACAGCCACUCAAUAAAAAAUUGUUGAGUGAAUUAACACAGAAUCUUCUUUCAGAUGCAAUCUUUCAGCAGCUGUAGGGUUUAGUUACUCCUGAACUCAUAGGAAACAUGACUGACUGGAUCAGACAAUUUUGUAAUGGACUGUUCAAUGCUGAGAUUCUACUACAACUUUGGAAAAUCAGUUUAAAUAAAGGUGACACAAUAAAGAGCUCUCUAGGGGAAAAGACAAAUACACUUACCUAAAAGGACAGAUCUCAGCACCAGUUGCAAGGUGCAAAUACACAUAUGUAUCUGUAAUACAUAUAUAUAUUUGCAAGCAUGCAAAAAAUACAUUUCAGUGAGUUUUGUCAUCUCCAUAGUACACACUUUAAUAGGUGAUAACAUAAGCUUAUUCAAAUGCUACCCAUGGUCAAAUCAUUUUUGGGACUACCUUCAGUUCAUUCUAUUAUUGUUGGUUGCAGCUUGGCAUCAGUUUUAGUGUUGCCAACACUGGUUUUGAUAUUUUACAUGGGAAUAAUAUAGGUGGUUUUAUAAUAUCAUUUUUAGUCAAAAACAGCACAAAAUUUAUUUUGUGAACCAGAAUAUUUCAAGGUAAAAUAGCCAAUCAUUCAGCUUUAGUUUACUCUCCUGGCUCCACAGAGUCCCUCCAAUAUUCCACAAUUUCUUUUUUUUGUUUGAGACAGGGUCUCACUCUGUCGCCUAGGCUGUAGUGCAGUAGCACGAUCAUGGCUCACUGCAGCCUGGACCUCCUGGGCUCAAGUGAUCCUCCUGCCUCAACCCUGCAAGUAGCUGGGACUACAGCCACGUGCCACCAUGCCAGGCUAAUUUUUGUAUUUUUUUGUAGAGAUGGGGUUUCACCAUGUUGGCCCAGGUUGGUCUCUAACUUCUGGCCUCAAGCAAUCUGCCCGCCUCAGCCUCCCAAAGUGCUAGGAUUACAGACAUGAGCCAUCGUGCCUGGCCCACAAUUUCCACAAAUAAAUUGUCAGACACUGCCAGAUCAAUGUGGCAUUAAUAAUGUUAUUGAUGGAAAAUAAUCAUCUGUCAUUUUUAUAUACACACUUCAUAUACACUAGACUGGGGGUUAUAUCAAACUAUAGCCGAUGGGCCAAAUCUGUCCUGCCAUCUGUUUUUCUAUGGCCUAAAAGCUAAGAAUGUCUAACUUUCUUUUUUUGAGAUGGAGUCUCCCUCUGUUGCCCAGGCUGGAGUAGUGGCAAGAUCUUGGAUCACUGCAGCCUCCAGGGUUCAAGCAAUUCUCCUGCCUCAGCCUCUCGGGUAGCUGGGAUUACAGACACACACCACCACGCCCGGCUAAUUUUUAUAUUUUUAGUAGAGAUGAGGUUUUACCAUGUUAGCCAAGCUGGUCUCGAACUCCUGACCUCAGGUGAUCCACCCGCCUCGGCCUCCCAAAGUGCUGGGAUUACAGGUCUGAGCCACCGUGCCCGGCCUCUUUUUAACAUUUUUCAAUGGUUUAAAAAAAUCAAAAUAGUAUUUUGUAAAAACUAUAUAAAAUUCAAAUUCUAGUAUCCAUUUAUAAAGUUUUAUUGGAACACAGCUGUGCUCAUCUGUUUCUAUAUUAACUAUGUCUACUUUUGCACUAAAAUGUUUAGUGGCAAAAGAGACCAUAUGGCCCAUAAAGACUCCUUUAUAGAAGUCUGUUGACCACUGGACUAUGCCCAAGUGAGUCCUUGGAGGGGACCCACUGGAGCUCCCCACUAUAGAUUUUUUGUUUCCGGAUAUUAAUACUGGGAAAGGGGUGAUUCAACUAGGACAGUAUUUGCAAGGAUCUGAUAAGGGAGACACUGUAGAACAUAAAUACAUGAUGGUUACCUCAGAAAAGAUAUAAACGCCUGGUAAAAUCUGGGUGGGCUGACUGAAGAAGAAGUAAUUGGAGAAUGCACAGUAACAUACACAAUUUAGCAGCAAAGGUGUCCUCAAGUCAUUUAGCAUCCAGAUUUAUCCAGGCAUUUCCAAAGGCAAGUCUUAGUCUUUGACUAGAAAUUCAUCUGAAAAAAAGUUUCUGGGAAGGAGGCCCCAGGUAAACAUUCUUCCCCAAAUAACAUUUCAAUGAGGACUCAGUGAGGAUCAGAAUUCAGAAGAUGGCAGAACCCUCCACAUGUUUUUCUAAGUCACAGAUUUGGUGAACAUUUUAUUCUUUCUCUUUUUGAUCAUUACUAGUGGGGCAAAUGAAGCAAGGUAGGGUGGGGUGAUGGAAGGGGAGAAUUGCAUAAAAUCAGUGUUAGGAUGAUCUGCCCCAGAAGGCAUGUAUUCCUCUUAGACGCUCAGCUGUGGCAUAAAACAUUCCAUGUGGACUUUGAAUUAGAAUGAGCGUGGGGGCGGGGACAAAGAUCAACCUGAAAGCCAAACGGAGUCAUUGACCGAUGGUGUUAAGCUUGAGAAAGUUUGCAGAUGGCCAGCUCUCCUACUGACAUCCCACAGAAAGCCAGGCUUGAUCUAUUGUGGUUAGGUGGAGUUUCUCCUGCCAGGGAAAAUACAGUUGCUAGGAGAAUGGGCUUUGGAUGUUAUAACUCUGAAGAAGUUUCAUGACUCUUGCUACUAGAGGUAACCAUAUUGCCUCCUUGAGAAACUGGUGACACUGGGUGCCUCUGGGGAGUGCAACUGAGGGUGGCUAAGGUGCCCAUGUCCCUUAGAAAAAACAAAAUCAACACAUAAUUCCCCCAUGUCACCCCACCCUGCUUCUUUAAGAUAGGAAGGCAACCUGGGGCCAGGGCUGGAGCAGACAAUUUCCUUACUCAGCAGCUGAAGCGGGGAGCUGAAAGAAGGAUCCAAAAAAUCAGAGAAGAGUUGUAAGUUAAGUGGAAAACCAUGACCCAAAGGUCAAUACAAGGAUCAGCACACCAAAGUGACCAAAAGCAGCUACUGAAGAUGUGACCCAGGACCAGAAAACAAAGCAACAAGGAAAGAGAGGAGUAAGAGCAAACUGUGAAGAAUAAACUGAGAGGUGUCUGAAGAUAGUCAAGGACAAGAGCCUGGGGUGUGACGGACACAUAGCUGGAUGUGUGAGACUACGGGACCAGGAGCUCAAGAGGCCUAGGCAGCAAGGUGCAGGCCAGGGCAAAACGUGCAUCAGCAAUAAAAUAGAUUUGGUGGGUGGACACAUUAGGAGUACUCAUAUAAGAACUUUCCUAUUUGGAGAUGCCCAGAUCAUGCUCUACCCUUGGGUUUAGAAAUUCUGAGCAGCCAAAUGUGAAUGGUUUGCUCUGGAUAAGUCCUUUUCAUUAUAGCCAAUUGGAACCAUUUGAAUUCACACUCCUAAUUACCUGCUUCUGGUUGCUGUGUCUAAACCAUGUCUGGACCAACAUAGCUUCUGGUACUCUACACUCCACCAUGGGUCUUGGUCCAGCAUCACUGGCAGGGACAUACCAGCCCUGUUCAUAGGACUGGAAUAAAAUCCAGAAGUAAGUUGUCUCAGGACCUCUGUUUAAUAACAGGUUAGAAACAACUCCUGUAGGUAUGGUUGUGGGAUCCUGGCCUGGGACCAGGAGCAUAUAAAUCUGCAACAAUUACCACUGGGUAGGCCUUAGCAAGGAUUACUAUGAGGUUCAGCAACAAAGCUGCAAGAACUAGUGGUGGGGACUUUGUUCCUAAAGUGCAGUGUCCCUGGUGCCAAGUGCUUGUGGGCAACCUAGAGCCGCAUCUGAUGUAGGAAGACUUCAUUGUCCUGAAAUGGAAUGUCUAGAAACUGUUAAGGAGCUGGAGGUCUAUAAGCUGUUGUUUGGUUUAAGAGUUUUCUUACACAGUAUCUUCUCUUUGUGGGACAACGUCUAGCUUUCAAGGUGUCUCAAAACUAACAGGUGUUGACCCGGCGUGGUGGCUCACGCCUGUAAUCCCAGCACUUUGGGACGCCGAGGUGGGUGGAUCACCUGAGGUCAGAAGUUCAAGACCAGCCUGGCCAACAUGGUGAAACCCCGCCUCUACUAAAAAUACAAAAAAUAGCCGGGUGUAGCAGCAUGCACCUGUAAUCCCAGCUACUCAGGAGGCUGAGUCAGGAGAAACACUUGAACCUGGGAGGCGGAGGUUGUAGUGAGCUGAGAUCGUGCCACUGCACUCCAGCCUGGGCAGCAGAGCAAGACUCCAUCUCAAAAAACAAAACAAAACAAAAACAGGUGUUAAUGAGGAACUUGUAAUUUUUGGAGGUGAGUAGAGAAAGUGAAAGAACAGCACUAAAAGUAACUGUGAUGAAUGAGUGUUGUGCCUCUACUAUCAAGCAAUAUUGUUUAAGAGGAGCUGUUAUAUCUAAAAAUCCUUGAGUAAAACAAAGACUGGCCAAUUCUGUGAAAUGCUAUUACCAAACCCCUGCCCCCUGAAUGUUUCCAGUCUAUGUGGUAUUACUUGGAACCCACUUGGGAAAAGUUCCAUUCCAUAAAUCCUGGCAGAGGCAGGAAGAGAAGAGACAGAGUUUGAACUUGCAGAAACUGCUUGUCGGGGUCCAAAUGGAAAAUCAGAUAUCAAAUUGGUUGUUACAAACCUAUUCACAGACUCAGGGGAAGCAAUUUAACAACAAGUGGCAUAGAGUUGGAGGCUUAGGAGAGAAAGCAAAUUAUCCCAAAUUGUUCAUCUGCUGCAACACCAUUAUCUUCCUCUUUAAACUUUGUUAUUUUAGCCAAUAGUGUCAUCAUUUUCUAAUUCCUUUUUUUUUUUUUUGGGACAGAGUCUAGCUCUGUCGCCAGGUUGGAGUACAGUGGCGCAAUCUCCACUCACUGCAACCUCUGCCUUCCGGG
This 6339-nucleotide long non-coding RNA is filed under the name Homo sapiens (human). Its description in RNAcentral is "HSALNT0178472". Lineage: Eukaryota; Metazoa; Chordata; Mammalia; Primates; Hominidae. The record is from RNAcentral.